This 253-nucleotide ribosomal RNA is filed under the name uncultured bacterium. RNAcentral describes it as "partial 16S ribosomal RNA". It matches the Rfam family "Bacterial small subunit ribosomal RNA", at positions 524 to 776 of the family's 1533-position model. The record is from RNAcentral.
UACGUAGGGGGCACGCGUUGUCCGGAGUUACUGGGCGUAAAGCGCACGCAGGCGGUCUCUUAAGUUUGGAGUGACAGUUGGUGGCUUAACUGCCAAAGUGCUUCGAAAACUGAGAGACUUGAGGGCUUCAGAGGGACACGGAAUUCCGGGUGGAGUGGUGAAAUGCGUAGAGAUCCGGAGGAACACCAAAGGCGAAGGCAGUGUCCUGGGGAGUACCUGACGCUGAGGCGCGAGAGCGUGGGGAGCAAACCGG